Molecule: ribosomal RNA, 618 nt
Filed under: Rossellomorea vietnamensis
Lineage: Bacteria; Bacillati; Bacillota; Bacilli; Caryophanales; Bacillaceae
Description: bacterial SSU rRNA
Rfam family: Bacterial small subunit ribosomal RNA
Source: RNAcentral
GAUGGGAGCUUGCUCCCUGAUAUCAGCGGCGGACGGGUGUAGUAACACGUGGGUAACCUGCCUGUAAGACUGGGAUAACUCCGGGAAACCGGGGCUAAUACCGGAUAACUCAUUUCCUCGCAUGAGGAAAUGUUGAAAGGUGGCUUCUGGUAACACUUACCGAUGGGCCCGCGGCGCAUUAACUAAUUGGUGAAGUAACGGCUCACCAAGGGAACGAUGCGUAACCCAACUGAAAGGGUGAUCGGCCACCCUGGGACUGAAACACCGCCCAAAAUCCUACGGGAGGGAACAAUAAGGAAUCUUCCGCAAUGGACCAAAGUCUGACGGAACAACCCCCCGUGGGUGAUGAAGGUUUUCGGAUCGUAAAGCUCUGGUGGUAAGGAAAAACCAGUGGCGUUCCAAUAAGGCGGCACCUUGGCGGUACCUAACCAGAAAGCCACGGGUAACUACGUGCCCACAGCCGCGGUAAUACCUAAGUGGGAAGCGUUGUCCGGAAUUAAUGGGCGUAAAGCGCGCGCAAGUGGUUCCUUAAGUCUGAUGGGAAAGCCCACGGCUCCACCGUGGAGGGUCAUUGGAAACUGGGGAAACUGAGUGGCAAAAAGAAAGCGGAAUUCCCAG